UGACGUCCCAUGCUUUGACCCAUGGGCCUGGAGGAACUGCCUAUGUCUGAGAGUAAGGAUCACAGCGGGUCCAGGGAGGACUCUGUUUGUUCUCUCACCUUACCUGCUGCCUCAUUGGUUCACUAGUUAUAAAAGCACAGAAUGCUGAUGUCCCCUGUGCCUACUGAAUUAAGACUGAAAGACAUCGUUCUGACUGCAUCUCAGAGACAUUAGUCACCAUUUAAAUGGGCAUGCACAUAUUUACUGCCCUUUGCUCUUAUAAUGACACUACAGAUAUCUCUAGCAGGUACACGAACAUACUCAAUGUCACAUAUGGAAAAGGGAAGUCAUUUCUUCCUUGGAUGUCUGGUCUCAUUGGGAUGCUGUGGGUGGUGUUCCCACAGAUGGUGUGUCUGGCACAAGUCUUGAAGAUGUGUUCCAACUGCCCUUUCUUUUUUUUAAAGGUAAUGAAGAUGAAUGGUUCUGGCUGUUGUUUCUCACGAUUAACUCAUGGAGUUUGCUGGUUGUGGAGGGGAUCCAGCAAGCUCCGGCAGACAAAUCAGAAAUAGCCUCUAGAGUCUCUUCUUGUCUGAUGGAAGCAGGAGCUGCCAUGUGGUGAGUAUUUCCAAAAGGACAGCUCUGUCCCAGGCCCACAGGGUUUACUGAGAACUCAGCUCACUUGUCCGCUUGCUGUCCAACUCGUGCCCAUUUGGGUUUGUUUGGUUUUUUUUCCAGGUGAGAAAGUCUUAGGAGAAAACAAAUGAAGAAACAAACAAACAAACAAGAAACUUGCCUGCAGUGGCUAAU
Molecule: long non-coding RNA, 786 nt
Organism: Mus musculus (house mouse)
Lineage: Eukaryota; Metazoa; Chordata; Mammalia; Rodentia; Muridae
Product: predicted gene, 31363
Exons: 3
Source: RefSeq, a predicted model, not a curated record